RNAcentral lists this ribosomal RNA (492 nucleotides) under uncultured bacterium. Its description in RNAcentral is "partial 16S ribosomal RNA". It matches the Rfam family "Bacterial small subunit ribosomal RNA", at positions 29 to 507 of the family's 1533-position model. The record is from RNAcentral.
AGUGAACGCUGGCGGCAGGCCUAACACAUGCAAGUCGAACGGCAGCAUCGUAUGUGCUUGCUCUUACGUGUGUCGCGUGUCGGACGGGUGCGGUAUAUUCCGGAUUCUACUUUUUAGUGGGUGCUAACGUCGGGUAACUUCCUCUAAUACAGCAUUCGUCCUCCUUGUGUAAGCCGGCGUUCUUUUGACUUUUUGCGAUUGUAUGAGCCGAUGUCGGAUUAGCUCGUUGGCGGGGUAAAGGCCCACCAAGGCGACUAUGCGUAGCUGGUCUGAGAGGAGCAUCAGACAGACUGGAACUGAGGCACGGUCCAGACACCUACGGGAGGCAGCAGUGGAGAAUAUUGGACGAUGGACGCAAGCCGGAUCCAGGCAUACCGGGUGAAUGAAGAAGGCCGUCGGGUUGUAAAGCCAUUUAGGGGGGAAAGAAGAGAAGCAGGUUAAUACGCCGCGGUUCUGACGGUACCCAAAGAAUAAGCACCGGCUAACUUCGUG